Molecule: transfer RNA, 85 nt
Organism: Termitomyces sp. J132
Lineage: Eukaryota; Fungi; Basidiomycota; Agaricomycetes; Agaricales; Lyophyllaceae
Rfam family: tRNA
About the family: Transfer RNA (tRNA) molecules are approximately 80 nucleotides in length. Their secondary structure includes four short double-helical elements and three loops (D, anti-codon, and T loops).
Source: Rfam
UGUCCCGUGGCUUAGUUGGUUACGGCGUCCGACUGUUAAUACUCUCAAAAUCGGAAGAUCGAGAGUUCAAGUCUCUCCGGGACAG